RNAcentral lists this ribosomal RNA (433 nucleotides) under uncultured bacterium. RNAcentral's name for it is "partial 16S ribosomal RNA". It matches the Rfam family "Bacterial small subunit ribosomal RNA", at positions 29 to 507 of the family's 1533-position model. The record is from RNAcentral.
AACGAACGCUGGCGGCAUGCCUAACACAUGCAAGUCGAACGAGACCUUCGGGUCUAGUGGCGCAUGGGUGCGUAACGCGUGGGAACCUGCACUUAGGUUCGGAAUAACUCCCCGAAAGGGGUGCUAAUACCGGAUAAUGUCUUCGGACCAAAGAUUUAUCGCCCUUGGAUGGGCCCGCGUUGGAUUAGCUAGUUGGUAGGGUAAAAGCCUACCAAGGCGACGAUCCAUAGCUGGUCUGAGAGGAUGAUCAGCCACACUGGGACUGAGACACGACCCAGACUCCUACGGGAGGCAGCAGAGGGGAAUAGUGGACAAGGGGCGAAAGCCUGAUCCAUCAAUGCCGCGUGAGUGAUGAAGGCCUUAGAGUUGUAAAGCUCUUUUACCCGGGAUGAUAAUGACAGUACCGGGAGAAUAAGCUCCGGCUAACUCCGUG